This 253-nucleotide ribosomal RNA is filed under the name uncultured bacterium. Its description in RNAcentral is "partial 16S ribosomal RNA". It matches the Rfam family "Bacterial small subunit ribosomal RNA", at positions 524 to 776 of the family's 1533-position model. The record is from RNAcentral.
UACGAAGGGUGCGAGCGUUGUUCGGACUUACUGGGCGUAAAGGGUUCGUAGGCGGGCGUCUAAGUCACGUGUGAAAUCCCCGAGCUUAACUCGGGACGUGCACGUGAAACUGGGUUUCUUGAGUAUCGGAGAGGGUCAUGGAAUUGCUGGUGUAGGAGUGACAUCCGUAGAGAUCAGCAGGAACACCGGAGGCGAAAGCGAUGACCUGGCCGGAUACUGACGCUGAGGAACGAAAGCGUGGGGAGCGAACAGG